UGUGCUCAAAAAAUUUGUGUCAAAUAAAUGUAUGAAUUUCAUCCAUUUAUCCAGGGCAUAAUUUAGUAUAGUGUUUAAGAACCUGGGCCAUGGAAUCAGCCUGCCUCUCUCAGAAUUUCUGCUCUACCACUAGAUAGUUUUGGGACAUUUACUUCACCUCCGUAAGCCUCAGUUUCCUCAUCUGCAAAAUGGGUAUACUCAAAGAACAUGAUUCAUGGAGAAGAUGCAUACAGAAUACUUAGCCUGGUGUCUGGCAUUUACUGAACAUUCAGUAGGUGUUAACUGUUAUUAUAAGUGAAAAAAAUUAGUAUUCAAAUUCUUCUUUUGCUUUCUUUGGAGGUACAAUGUUUUCAGAAGAAUAAUAUGUGGAAGAAGGGUAUUAGCAUUAAAGGAAUACCUCAGCUCCUUUAAUCCUCACAACUAUCUUAUGAGAUAGCGCUGUUUUCCUAUUCAAAAAUGAGGCCACUGAGUCUUAGCAAGGUUGAAUGACAUGCCCAAGGUCACAUGCGGGCAGAGUUGGGAUUCGCAUCUAGAUUUGUGUCAUCCUAGUAUUGGUCUUAGUCUUGCCACUGUAACACCCGCCCCCUGUCUCCUUACUUUAGCAGUCACGACCUUGAGCAUUUUCAUUUUGACUGAACACGUCCGCUCUUUCAUGGCUCUCAGUUUGCUUAUGUUUAUUCUGUUCGGGUCCUCUUUUCCCUUCAUUUAUGCUCUUUGAAAUUCUACCUGUCUUUUCAAUUCCUGCUCAAAGCCAUCUCCUCCCUCAGCCCUCCAAUUUAACCCCUUUCUCUGCUAUGCUGCAGACACACACUGCCUUCUACCCACGCAUUAGUUAUUCUGUACCAUGUUUCUUCCACAGAAGAUGGGGAUCUCCUUGAGUCUGUGAACUGCACAAGGCUCCUCUUUGUGUCUCUACGGUGCAUGGCACAGCAUAGUGCAGUUACAACAUAGGCAAACCUGACUUCCAGGAUCUUAACUGCGCCAGCUUGUAAUGCCACCAUCAUAUUUCCUGCUUUAAACAGUCAGCAGAUGCAAGUAAGCCUGCCAGUCAAUGCAUUUGUCAAAACAGGCUGAGGUGUUCUACCUAGUGGCCGGAGGUAAAGCAUAUUGGUCUAGUGGCCAUGUGAAUAGGUGGUGAUGCUAUAUCAAUAUCUUCAAGGAAAGACAUUCGGGUAUUAAUUGUGAGUCAUAGAGUAAUGCUGAUCAAGAAAGAGAUAGAUAAACUGAUACAGGGCUCUAAACACAAGAGUCGUACAUACAGUAUGGCACACAAUGGUACAUUAGGAUUGUUUUAAAGGUGAUUUUAUUAUAUGCAAUUUAUGUCUGACCCUGGCACACAAUAGGCAUUUGAUAAACGUUUACUAAGUUGUGGAGUUGAUUUGAAUUAAAAUAAACCAAUACUGUAUGACUUCGAAAUUGAGGGGAUACCACAUACCAGAAAAAGAAAAUUGCUUUAUUGCCCUUACAUAGUUGCCUACAAUUUGGUGUAUAUAUAGAAAUGUAUCUUGAAUGCUAAAGAUAGCACAAGUAAUUGAAGGUGGACUGAAGGGUGACAAGUGACUUGAUUAGAAAGGAAAUUUCAUCUUGUCACUUAUUACCUGGAAUCCAAAUUUAUGCAAGAUCAGCCAGAAGGCAAUUUUCAUUUUAUCCAGGAUAAACCAGAGCUUAAGCUCCCAAAGCCUGUCAUCUUGAAUGUCUCCAAUAGUCACUCAAAUUGUUGGUGCACUCUUGUUUAGCAUGUUUAUUACAAUUGUCAUGCUGUCUUGAUUUUUCUAAAAUUACAAUCUCAUUAUUACAGGAUUUUCUGUUGAAUGACACUUCAUAAAAAAGACUUUGAUUGCUGAGUUACAAAGACAAUUGUAUCUUCUUGUAAAGCAUACAGUCUUGGUGGUCCUACCCCAUGAACUGGCUGUCCCAGGACGGUUUUACGGUGAGGCAUUAGUCGUGUAUUGAUUUUCUUCAAUCUUCAGUUGAAUAUUUGUAGUAAUUGCUGUUUCAGCAAUGGUGAACCACAUAGCAUUGUCAGAACCUGACUCAUUCUGUUUCAUGAUGGUUAGUCUCUGUUGGCCCUCCAAAUACGUCUCUAC
This 2087-nucleotide long non-coding RNA is filed under the name Homo sapiens (human). Its description in RNAcentral is "non-protein coding LINC00698:8". Lineage: Eukaryota; Metazoa; Chordata; Mammalia; Primates; Hominidae. The record is from RNAcentral.